CCCCGACUUCCGAGUUCCAGUUGGCUUCCAGCUGGAGCGCGGGAAGUAGUUUUAGUUGGGGUAUUACGGAUUCCGAAAAUUUUAAUUCGUUGCGCGUUUUGAGUUAUCGAACGCUUCGAGGUGCCUUUAAUAGGCGGCGUCUCUUCUUUUCCGAAAAGCCUCAUUAUUGGGACACCUUUUGUGAAGCGUCCUCGCGUCGUGGGCUCAUGAUGGGGCCGCACGAUCUUCGAUUGCGGACGCCUUUCCGCACGAUCCGAUGGGGCGCUUCGACGUUCGAACCGCUAGCCUUAAUUAAAUGCGUCGUUCUGUCUUUUAGACCGACACGUGUUAUCAUCUAACCAGGACGCAGCGCUUUCUUCGCUGAUCCGGGCCGUUGGGGAGGUCUAUAUAAACUCUCCCCCGGCCCCCUGUUCUCUCUCUAUUGCUUUCUGCUUCCAGCUUCCUAUUCUCCCAGUCUUCCUCAGACCGAAGUCCCUUCUCUCCGGCAUCUUUCCCAGGUCCUCCUUCUUUUUGAUUUCCCUN
This 522-nucleotide long non-coding RNA is filed under the name Phoenix dactylifera (date palm). Its description in RNAcentral is "long non-coding RNA (PDAC_LNC012274)". Lineage: Eukaryota; Viridiplantae; Streptophyta; Magnoliopsida; Arecales; Arecaceae. The record is from RNAcentral.